UGAGGAAUAUUGGUCAAUGGACGAAAGUCUGAACCAGCCAUGCCGCGUGAAGGAAUAAGGCCCUAUGGGUCGUAAACUUCUUUUGUAUGUGAGCAAUAAGGUCCACGUGUGGACCGAUGAGAGUAGUAUACGAAUAAGCAUCGGCUAACUCCGUGCCAGCAGCCGCGGUAAUACGUAGGGGGCAAGCGUUAUCCGGAAUUAUUGGGCGUAAAGAGUGCGUAGGUGGUUACCUAAGCAGGGGGUGAAAGGCAAUGGCUUAACCAUUGUUAGCCCCCUGAACUGGGCUACUUGAGUGCAGGAGAGGAAAGCGGAAUUCCUAGUGUAGCGGUGAAAUGCGUAGAUAUUAGGAGGAACACCAGUGGCGAAGGCGGCUUUCUGGACUGUUACCGACACUGAGGCACGAAAGUGUGGGGAGCAAACAGGAUUAGAUACCCUGGUAGU
This 441-nucleotide ribosomal RNA is filed under the name uncultured bacterium. RNAcentral describes it as "bacterial SSU rRNA". It matches the Rfam family "Bacterial small subunit ribosomal RNA", at positions 355 to 794 of the family's 1533-position model. The record is from RNAcentral.